GAUGAACGCUGGUGGCGUGCCUAAUACAUGCAAGUCGAGCGAACAGAUAAGGAGCUUGCUCCUUUGACGUUAGCGGCGGACGGGUGAGUAACACGUGGGUAACCUACCUAUAAGACUGGGAUAACUUCGGGAAACCGGAGCUAAUACCGGAUAACAUUUGGAACCGCAUGGUUCUAAAGUGAAAGAUGGUUUUGCUAUCACUUAUAGAUGGACCCGCGCCGUAUUAGCUAGUUGGUAAGGUAACGGCUUACCAAGGCGACGAUACGUAGCCGACCUGAGAGGGUGAUCGGCCACACUGGAACUGAGACACGGUCCAGACUCCUACGGGAGGCAGCAGUAGGGAAUCUUCCGCAAUGGGCGAAAGCCUGACGGAGCAACGCCGCGUGAGUGAUGAAGGGUUUCGGCCCGUAAAACUCUGUUAUUAGGGAAGAACAAAUGUGUAAGUAACUGUGCACGUCUUGACGGUACCUAAUCAGAAAGCCACGGCUAACUACGUG
This 497-nucleotide ribosomal RNA is filed under the name uncultured bacterium. Its description in RNAcentral is "partial 16S ribosomal RNA". It matches the Rfam family "Bacterial small subunit ribosomal RNA", at positions 28 to 507 of the family's 1533-position model. The record is from RNAcentral.